GCGAGGAUUGCCAAGCCCGGUCAAAGGCGCCAGGUUGAGGGCCUGGUCUUAUAGAAGUUCGCAGGUUCGAAUCCUGCUCCUCGCA
Transfer RNA from Methanoplanus limicola DSM 2279, 85 nucleotides. It matches the Rfam family "tRNA". Rfam says of the family: Transfer RNA (tRNA) molecules are approximately 80 nucleotides in length. Their secondary structure includes four short double-helical elements and three loops (D, anti-codon, and T loops). Further hydrogen bonds mediate the characteristic L-shaped molecular structure. tRNAs have two regions of fundamental functional importance: the anti-codon, which is responsible for specific mRNA codon recognition, and the 3' end, to which the tRNAs corresponding amino acid is attached (by aminoacyl-tRNA synthetases). tRNAs cope with the degeneracy of the genetic code in two manners: having more than one tRNA (with a specific anti-codon) for a particular amino acid; and 'wobble' base-pairing, i.e. permitting non-standard base-pairing at the 3rd anti-codon position. The record is from Rfam. NCBI's taxonomy places the organism in Archaea, Methanobacteriati, Methanobacteriota, Methanomicrobia, Methanomicrobiales, Methanomicrobiaceae.